This 525-nucleotide long non-coding RNA is filed under the name Nicotiana benthamiana. RNAcentral describes it as "long non-coding RNA (NBEN_LNC034383)". Lineage: Eukaryota; Viridiplantae; Streptophyta; Magnoliopsida; Solanales; Solanaceae. The record is from RNAcentral.
CUUGCUUUUGAACCCUGUUAUUAUUGCAUAUUAAUUUAAAAUUACAGUAAGAACCCAUAAGCCUUAAAUUCUGGUUCUGCCUCUGGGUGCAGGGUCAGACCACAAGGGUCUAUUGUACGCAACCUUACCCUGUAUUUUUACAAGAGGCUAUUUCCACGGCUCGAAUCUGUAACCUGUAAUCACAUGAAAACAACUUUAUCAGUUACGCCACGACCCUCCUCCUCGUGAUUACUAAAUAUUUCUGGUCUAAAAGUUGCCAUUUUUUAAAAAUCAAGGUAUAAUUUAUUAUCUUUUUCCACUUUUUCCUUAGCAUUAAUAGUCCUUGAAGUAAAAAUCAUUGAGUAACAGAGAGAAUAUUUAUGGAAGAAAGAUUAAAGCUAUAAAUAAGGGUAUUGUAGUAAAAAUGUUCUUAUUGAUUGCUUAUUAAAAAACGUAUAAAAGAAAAUCACGAUAAUUAAAAUAGAGCGGAGAGAGUACUUUCUGAACUUGAAGGAAAGCCAUAUUGUUUCAAACACGUUGACAUCC